AAAAUCUUGGGUAUUAUGCUGUUGACUUCUAUAUGGUGUGAAAUUGACUAUAAUCAGGAUGUUGACGUUGGUCUACACUAAUAAAGGGAGCACAUAGACUUCGAAUAAACAAGCAAUUGUGAAAGCAUCUAAGUGAUAAUAAUAAAUGUAUUAGAUUUUCUUCUAUAAUGAGUAAAAUAUGGCUAAUCUUUGUAUAGUA
This 199-nucleotide long non-coding RNA is filed under the name Solanum tuberosum (potato). Its description in RNAcentral is "long non-coding RNA (STUB_LNC009840)". The record is from RNAcentral. Lineage: Eukaryota; Viridiplantae; Streptophyta; Magnoliopsida; Solanales; Solanaceae.